CAGUCGCCGCGGGAAUACGAAGGGUGCAAGCGUUAAUCGGAAUUACUGGGCGUAAAGCGUGCGUAGGCGGUGAGUUAAGUCUGCUGUGAAAUCCCCGGGCUCAACCUGGGAAUGGCAGUGGAUACUGGCUCGCUAGAGUGUGUCAGAGGAUGGUGGAAUUCCCGGUGUAGCGGUGAAAUGCGAAGAGAUCGGGAGGAACAUCAGUGGCGAAGGCGGCCAUCUGGGACAACACUGACGCUGAGGCACGAAAGCGUGGGGAGCAAACAGGAUUAGAUACCCCGGUAGUCCCUGUCUCUUAUAC
RNAcentral lists this ribosomal RNA (301 nucleotides) under uncultured bacterium. Its description in RNAcentral is "partial 16S ribosomal RNA". It matches the Rfam family "Bacterial small subunit ribosomal RNA", at positions 509 to 807 of the family's 1533-position model. The record is from RNAcentral.